This 62-nucleotide microRNA precursor is filed under the name Oreochromis niloticus (Nile tilapia). RNAcentral describes it as "microRNA oni-mir-10548b precursor". Lineage: Eukaryota; Metazoa; Chordata; Actinopteri; Cichliformes; Cichlidae. The record is from miRBase by way of RNAcentral.
CGUGAUUGCGGAUGCUGUGCAGGUGCGUCCGCCUUCCCUGCACAGCACCGCAGGCCACGCCC